Molecule: non-coding RNA, 28 nt
Filed under: Mus musculus (house mouse)
Lineage: Eukaryota; Metazoa; Chordata; Mammalia; Rodentia; Muridae
Source: RNAcentral
UGUCCUAAGCUUGGUUCUCACAUGCUGC